Molecule: non-coding RNA, 155 nt
Organism: Helianthus annuus (common sunflower)
Lineage: Eukaryota; Viridiplantae; Streptophyta; Magnoliopsida; Asterales; Asteraceae
Source: Rfam
AUCUUUGCGCUUGGGGCAAUGACGCAGCUAAUGAGGUAAUAACCGAGGCGCGUCAAUUGCUGGUUGAAAACUAUUUCCAAACCCCUCCUCGGCUUUGGGAAAGUCCUACAAUUUUUGGUUCCAAUUUUUUUAUUUAUUUAUGUUGUUCUAAAUUG